UACGGAGGGUGCAAGCGUUAUCCGGAUUUAUUGGGUUUAAAGGGUCCGUAGGCGGACUUAUAAGUCAGUGGUGAAAGCCUGUCGCUUAACGAUAGAACUGCCAUUGAUACUGUAAGUCUUGAGUAUAUUUGAGGUAGCUGGAAUAAGUAGUGUAGCGGUGAAAUGCAUAGAUAUUACUUAGAACACCAAUUGCGAAGGCAGGUUACCAAGAUAUAACUGACGCUGAGGGACGAAAGCGUGGGGAGCGAACAGGAUUAGAUACCCCGGUAGUCC
This 273-nucleotide ribosomal RNA is filed under the name uncultured bacterium. Its description in RNAcentral is "partial 16S ribosomal RNA". It matches the Rfam family "Bacterial small subunit ribosomal RNA", at positions 524 to 796 of the family's 1533-position model. The record is from RNAcentral.